AUAUCAAUAAGCGGAGGAAAAGAAACCUAACAAGGAUUGCCCUAGUAACGGCGAGUGAAGCGGCAACAGCUCAAAUUUGAAAUCUGGCCCUUUCAGGGUCCGAGUUGUAAUUUGUAGAGGGCGCUUUGGCGUUGGCAGCGGUCUAAGUUCCUUGGAACAGGACGUCACAGAGGGUGAGAAUCCCGUAUGUGGUCGCUUGUCUUCGCCGUGUAAAGCCCCUUCGACGAGUCGAGUUGUUUGGGAAUGCAGCUCUAAAUGGGAGGUAAAUUUCUUCUAAAGCUAAAUAUUGGCCAGAGACCGAUAGCGCACAAGUAGAGUGAUCGAAAGAUGAAAAGCACUUUGGAAAGAGAGUCAAAAAGCAC
Molecule: ribosomal RNA, 362 nt
Filed under: uncultured fungus
Lineage: Eukaryota; Fungi
Description: eukaryotic LSU rRNA
Rfam family: Eukaryotic large subunit ribosomal RNA
Source: RNAcentral